GUGCUCCCUUUGGCAGCAGAUAACUAAAAUUGGAAUGAUACAGAGAAUAUUACCAUGGCCCCUGCACAAAGAUGAAGGGCAAAUUCAUGAAGCAUUCCAUAGGUUA
This 106-nucleotide small nuclear RNA is filed under the name Chinchilla lanigera (long-tailed chinchilla). The record is from RNAcentral. Lineage: Eukaryota; Metazoa; Chordata; Mammalia; Rodentia; Chinchillidae.